Molecule: ribosomal RNA, 653 nt
Filed under: uncultured bacterium
Lineage: Bacteria
Description: bacterial SSU rRNA
Rfam family: Bacterial small subunit ribosomal RNA
Source: RNAcentral
GGAUAACAGCUGGAAACAGCUGCUAAUACCGCAUAUGCCCGCAGUGCCGCAUGGCACAGCGGGGAAAACUCCGGUGGUAUGCGAUGGGUCCGCGUCUGAUUAGGCAGUUGGCGGGGUAACGGCCCACCAAACCGACGAUCAGUAGCCGGCCUGAGAGGGCGGACGGCCACACUGGGACUGAGACACGGCCCAGACUCCUGCGGGAGGCAGCAGUGGGGAAUAUUGCACAAUGGGGGAAACCCUGAUGCAGCGACGCCGCGUGAAGGAAGAAGUAUCUCGGUAUGUAAACUUCUAUCAGCAGGGAAGAAAACAGACGGUACCUGACUAAGAAGCCCCGGCUAACUACGUGCCAGCAGCCGCGGUAAUACGUAGGGGGCAAGCGUUAUCCGGAUUUACUGGGUGUAAAGGGGGCGCAGACGGCCUGGCAAGCCCGGUGUGAAAGGCAGGGGCAUAACCUCUGGACUGCACUGGGAACUGUCAGGCUGGAGUGCCGGAGGGGUAAGCGGAAUUCCUGGUGUAGCGGUGAAAUGCGUAGAUAUCAGGAGGAACACCGGCGGCGAAGGCGGCUUACUGGACGGCAACUGACGUUGAGGCCCGAAAGCGUGGGGAGCGAACAGGAUUAGAUACCCUGGUAGUCCACGCCGUAAACGAUG